This 4578-nucleotide long non-coding RNA is filed under the name Sus scrofa (pig). RNAcentral's name for it is "lncRNA (ENSSSCG00000058243.1)". Lineage: Eukaryota; Metazoa; Chordata; Mammalia; Artiodactyla; Suidae. The record is from RNAcentral.
UUUUUUUUUUUUUUGUCUUUUUAGGGCCGUACCCAUGGCAUAUGGAAGUUCCCAGGCCCAGGGUCAAAUCAUAGCUGUAACGGAUGGCCUGCGCUACAGCCACAGCAACACCAGAUCUGAGCUGCUUCUUCAACCUACACCACAGCUCAUGGCAUUGCCGGAUCCUUAACCCACUGAGUGAGGCCAGGAAUCAAGCCUGAGUCCUCAUGGAUACUAGUCAGAUUUGUUUCUGCUGAACCACAACAGGAGCUCCAAGCUAUAUUCUUAUUGUGUCCUCACACAGCAGAAAGAGGACCAGAGAUGGGGCUUCUCCCAUUAGGGCACUAAGCCCAUUCAUGAGGGUUCUGUCCUUAUAACCAAAUUAAUUCCCGGAGGUCCCAGUUCCUGACACCAUCACGUCGGGUGGGGGGGUUAGGAUUUCAACAUAUGAAUUUGAGGGGGGGGACAUCUGGUCCAUAACAAUGACAAACAGAGAAAAACUGAAGGCCAAACGGGGACUAUGGUGGAGAAGAGAAUAGGCAGCUGCUCUUCUUCUGAGCAUCCUCGGGUGGGAAGAUGGCCCAGUGUGACCAGAUCAUCCCAUUUUCUAGGAGAAGUUGGAAAAAUACAUGUUUUUUUUUUUUUUUUUUAAAUGUGAAAGCCAAGCUCCUGAUUUUUAAAUCUUGACAAGUAGUUUAAAAACUCCGUGACCUCUGGAAAGAUCUAGAAUCCUUUUGCUGCUUGAAGGCAUGUUACUGCAGGCAGAAAUGCCUUGUCUAAACAAGGAGUACGUCUGGAAACACUGUCGCCUGCCUGACGGGUGGGUGGAGUUGGCUGCCAUCUGGACCACGGCCUGUCAGAAGCCACCACCUGCUGCAAGGGAUGUGACAUUCCAUCACCAGGGACAGCGUUCUUGUCUUCGGGCUUGGUCGCCUGGUUAAAAAUAGAUCGGCCUUGACUGCCUUCUCAGUAACUCUGUUCUUGGUAAAAGCAGCAAGUCUGAAGAUAAGGCAGUGAAGUUCAGCCUUCGGAGGGUUUGGUGAAGACCGGGAUUCCUGAGUUGGGUGUAUCUACAGGCUACCUUGGUGCACUUCAUGGUUUGCAUUCUGACCCACCCAGGACCCAGAGCUGGCCUCCAAUUUACAAUCCACUGUUCCCAGCAGAUGACCUUCAGGUGGGUCCAAGCAGCAGUUGAUAGGGAAGCCCUUGAACUCAGUUCUCUCAAAAUCACCCUGAAUUUCCACCUGUGGCUAUUUGCAAAAAAAGAUGACUUUCCUUCGCCCACUGCCCACAGCAACACUGGAUCUGAGCCACAUCGGUGACCUAAGCUGUGGCAAUGCUGAAUCCUUAACCCACUGAGUCGGGCCAGGGAUCGAACCUGCAUCCUCAUGGCUCCUAGUCAGGUUCUUAACCUGCUAGGACACAACGGGAAUGCCUGUUCAACUUCUUAUGAAUGCUAAGCAGGUUCUGGAAGACGACAGUCUUAAAGAGCUCCGGGACUUCCCGUUGUGACUCAGCAGGUUAAGAACCCAACUAGUAUCCAUGAGGAUGAGGAUUCAAUUUCUGGCUUCCCUCAGUGGGUUAAAGGAUCUGGCAUUGCCUUGAGCUGCAGUGUUGGUUGCAGAUGCGGCUCAGAUCUGGUGUUGCUGUUGCUGUGGCUGUGUCGUAGGCCAGCAGCUACAGCUCUGAUUUAACCCCUAGCCUGGGAACUUCCAUGAGCCACAGGUGCGGCCCUAAAAACAGAGAAAGAACUUGGACCCAGAGAGGUAGUUAAAACCAAUUAGUUUCCCUAACUGUUGUCCCCACUUCCAACUUGGGACCAGAAGAGAAAGCCAGCUAUGCAUUGCUAAUCCACCCCAUAGGAUGCUGCGACUAUGACAGCUAGUUGCUGCCUCCAGCUUUCCCCACUGAUGGGCUCCCAGCAGAGCACACCUGGAGCCCCUUUUCUUUUCCUCCAGAAAUCUUGCUUCUCCUCCCCACCCCAGCCCUGUCUGCCUUGGUGAUGCCAAAAGCAAGUGACCGUGAUGGUGGCUGACUCCCUGGCUGGGGUCAGCUCCCACCAAACAGCCUUUGCUUUCUUGUUUAGGUGGUUCACGUCCAGGGCUCACACGCACUCACAUACACACAGUUCGGUCGGCUGUUCGGGUCGCUCCAGGUUGAUGAAGAUGUGCCUGCAGUCUCGCACUAACUGCAGAACCCACUUGGAGGAGGCAGUUCCAAGGAAAUUGAUGUUCCAACCAGUCCCAGAUGAAGGGCAAAGGAGCCCAAGAGAUGUUUGAAAUCAUUGUGUUUUGACCGGAAACUUUAUUAACCUGGAGACAAUGGGACAAUUGUCCCUGAGUGAACAAAGCGAAAUGCUCAAGUCUGGGACAAGCAGAGCUGCCCUAAUGGCCUAGGCAUGGAUUUCUGAAGGUCUAUGCCAGCGUUGGCAAGAGCAGCCAUGGCUGUGAACGGGCUGGGCCAUGGACACAGGCAGCCCUGUCACCUCCUCACUGGAGCAAGUCCCAAAGGUUUUUAAGCCUCAGAAAAGGACCCAACUUUCCACCCUCAUCAAGUCACCAGACUGACCUUCAAGCCAACUGAAGGAGCAUCUUGGGAAGGACAAAGCAUUUUCUCAUCUCGGAACAAAACGUCACAGAGAGAGAGCUUUAAAUACAUCAUACCUGUAUUUUGCAGGGAGAAGCAAACUAAAGUAGAAAUGCAUAAGCCUUAAUAAAAAGAGGAAUUGGAGGGAGGGGGCAGGGGUACCAGGUUGCAGCCCCUCCCCCAACCCCCUUACCCCACCCCCCACCCUCCGCCUUGAUCCAGGCACAGGGCCCUCUGAAUGGGAAGAGAAGGUGCUAGAAUAUCUUCGUUCUUCUUUUAGAAUGUAUGUCGAUGACUUAAACCCAAGUCUCCAUUCCACGCCUGUUAAUUAGGCUGACUUGGUGGCAUAUGCCAGAAGUCUGGAGAGCUGCUCUCCCAGCUCUGCCGGGGCUGUGUCAUCACGUGACACAGCAGUUACUAUGGAGAUUAUCAGUCAUGAGCAGGUCGUCCAUAAGUUGAACUUGCAUCUGACAAGUUAAAUUUGUCACUAUGGGGAGAGAGUAAAGAGGGUUGUUUUUUUCUUUUUUUCCUUGAAGAGAUUUCCUUGGCUCCAGGCCCUGCCCCCUGCCCCUUUCCAGCCGGGUUAGGCUUUUUCCACGUGGUGGUCCUGAGCUGAAGAAAGCUUGCUUUAUUCUCUCUUGUGUUCUGUAGAGUCUUGGAGGAAGCUAGGGCGCUGGCACCAAGGGGCCCUGCAAGAUGGGUUAGGGCUAAAAUCAGACCAAUUCUGUGAUUCAUCUGCAGACCUAUAAGGGGGCACCAAGCACAGGCUUGGUCUCCUCUGGGACAGGAGUGGCAUAUGCCAGUUUUCUCUCCAACAAGUGUAUUUCAUUUCCUUCGUUGGCAUGAACUGCCCCCGUCACCACAUACGAACACAUGUGUGUGCAUGUGUGUUCAUGCCUGGCAGUAUGUCGAAUUGCGCUGCUGCUCUCUGUCCCUCAGUAGGUAAUGACUCUCAUAGACCACCUUUCUCAGAUUAAAGGCAAACUGCUAUUUAAUAAAAGCCACAGGAGGGAGGCUGGGAUGGAGCCACACCGAGAAGGGAGAGCCAGGCCGAACAUCUGGGCCACUGAAGGCCAUUGUCACACAACUUUGACAGGAGGAUGGGCUAGGAGGCUCCCACACUGGAUGAGCCUACCUCUCCUGGUUUCAGACACCUUUGUUUUAUUGUGUUUCUCUUUGGUUCAGCUCCUAACCAGGGUCGGAAUUAUAGGAGCCAGUCUCUCAUCUCUCAUAUACACGACCUUACAUUCAAAGGGCCCCCCAAAUCGAGAGUCAUCCCUUCAUAUGUGGGUGCAGGUGGCCUUGUUUUUUUUUUUAAUUUUUUUAUUAUGGUUGAUUUACGUUGUUCUGUUAAUUUCUCCUGCACAGCAAAGUGACCCAGUCCUGCAUCUAUACACACUUUCUUUCUUAUAGAAUCUUUCAUCACGUUCCAUCACAAGGGGUUGGACUGUGCUCUGCAGCAGGACCUCAUUGUCCAUCCAUUCUAAAGGUAACAGUUUGCAUCUACUAACCCCAAACUCCCCAUCCACCCCACUCCCUCCAAAGACCUGGCUAGAGGAGCCCAGGGCUGAACUGGGAAGGUGGGCCUGGACCCAGCAGUGUUCCCCAUCCCCUAUUGAUUAGAGGGCUAUGGCACCCCCUCUUUCAUCAGGAACAGAAAAGGUUUUAACACAUACAGACAUUUUCCUCCAGGCAACUCAGCUGCAAGAUCCUUAAAGACCAAACCAGAACUACUCCUUAAGAAGCAGCAGCCAGGAAACUAAGAAUCACAAUUUGAUUCUGUAACUCCCAAGAGACCGACCCACUUCAUUUGAGCUCAGCCAACAGUCUGGCGACCGAGGCUUUCAUUCUGUCACCUGUCUUUUUAAUAUUCUCAUGAACCUCUAUUUCCCCCUCAUUUCAAUGUUGAAGAAUCACCUUGGGAUUCUUGUCUGGUCAAGGACAGGAGUCUUGCCUCAGAGUUUGAUCUGUUAAGUGAAAAUGAAGCAAAACAAUAAGAAAAGCCAUUUGAUU